UUAAAUACCUAUGUACCCAACCUUACUUGUACACUCAUAUGUCUAUAAAUAUGUUAAUUACUCUAUCAGCAACAAACACGAAGUUUCAGCGUUAUCCCCAGUUUAUUUUUGAACGAAUCAAUCAAAGCAUUUUCUGUAUGAAAUGGAUCGAUAUUAGUUAAAGUAUAAAAACCCUGAAACGUUAUUCUUUCUUUAUAUACAUGACUAAAAAUUAAAAGAAGACGAACGGAUAUUUGAUAUAAAAUAAAAUACGUUUAACAUUACUUGGUCAUUAACUAAAGACAGAACCUAAUCCUCUACAGUCACCUGUAAAAUAACUUCUUCAAUAUCAAGUUAAACGUAUAGUCUUUAUUAUAAAUACGUUUCAUUUAAAUAUUGCCUAUUGCAAUCACCUUUAUAUCCGUAAAAAUAUGAGCGUUUCAGUUCUUGACAUAAGUUGCCGGUGGCAAUUCUAUCAUGUAAGUUUUCCGCUUCACGCUCGGAAAUAUUUUAAUAAAUUAAUGUAUUUAAGUGAACUUAAAAUAAACAAAAAAAAUCUUAAAAUAAAUUGCCCUAGUAGUUGAGAGCCAUUUUUAUUCUAGACACUCUGAGUUGAAACUGCUUAUAUUGCAUUUUCCAUUAUAUAGAUGUGUUAAAGAGUUUGAAUGUAUAUUAAUCGAAAAACAGGAAUACCAAAAAGAAAUAUGACUUUUAGAGAUGUUAUGACUGAUGUUAUGACAUAAGUAUGGAAGAAGAAAGAGAGAAAAUUUAGUCAUUAAAAUCUAUCUUUUUUACUGAUUAAGUAUUUUCCUGACAAUAGUAAGUAUGGCAAGACGUUAUUCUCUUAUACUGAUGACGCUUAAUGCUUAGAAUACUUUGUUAUUAUUUUAUGUAAUUCAGGAAAUUUAAAUAAAAAGGGGAGUAGGCGUGUGAUUAUUAUUUCAAUUGAAAAACAUGUAUCCUUAUUGUAAUACACGAUCUGAAAUACAUCACUAAAAGGUAACAAAUAAAAUCCUUCAUGAGAAAGGAGUAGAGAACGCCACACCAAAUAUCACGUAACAGGCCUCGCGUUAAUAUCUCUGAAUAUCUGAAGCAAUCAUCAGGAGCAACUAGUUCCAAUUCAACGAACGGAUGAUCUGCUACCAUAUCAAUAGCUUCAAUACCAAAUUCUUUCUUCCUCCGCGAUAUUGAUAUAUCCGAAACCAAAAUCCAUGUUAUCUCUAAAAAUUGUUUUUCUAAGAAAAUUUUCGGUUUCUCAUCUACCUUGCCCAGAACUUCGACUUAAUUUCUUUCGGUUUAUGGAAUGUUUCAACACGAAUAAACUGUUUUUUAAUAUCUCAAAAACUAAUCUCGUAACAUUUCACUCCAAAAAGCUCCGAAUCUUCACAACUACUUUACUUUGAACACACUUGUCCCCAUUCACUACGCUCAAAGAUUCCAGGGGUUCAUUAGAUGUCAACCGAAAAUGGGAUUCCGACAUAAAUAUGUUAGCUAAACAUGUCACCUUCGCAUUUGCCAUGAGGUUCCUAUUACAUUUUAUAUCUAGGGAAAUUCUCAGACUACGUUACAAUGGCUUGUUUUAGACAGAAAUUUAGUUAUUUGUUAUUUAGUUAUUUUAGUUAUUGUUUUUAUAUGGGGCUUCUGCAGGCAAAUUUCUUUAACAGAAUUUUUUACAUCCAGAAGAGAGCACUGAGGAUCGUCUGAGGAUUGGACUGGCGGGACAAUUGCAGGGAGCUCUUUCGAUCAAAUGGCACCCUCACUCUCGCCAGCCUGCUUGUUUACCACAGAGUAAUUUUUGUCUUUCAAAAUAAACAUAUGUCUUUAGUUCUUGGACACAGUUUCCUUAACUACCGGAAAUGUUUGUUUCAGGAGACCAAAGUUCCACUGAUGGGUUGCAGUCUCUGAUGAAUGACUACUGGUUGUUAUGUGACACUGUUCGUGAAGCGAACACUUUUUACUCUGACCAGCUCCUAGUCAUCGUCGUUUCCACAUUUCUGCAUACGACGACAGACCUCUCCUUCUUUUUUCUUAGUUUUAUCAAUAAGAAUAUUAUUGGCGCCACCGAUGCUGGAGUUACAUUCUUAGCGUGUACUUUCUUCAUCGUUAUGUUGGCUCACUUGUGCACAAACGUUACUGAAUCGGUAUAUAUUAAUAUUACUUAUAUUUCAGUUUAAUAAGUGCAUAUUAUAAUGAAAAAGUGUUACAGUUUUAAAUUUGCUUUAAGUAUAAUAAUUAUAAAGCUCAAUAUAUUGGUUUUUAAAUAAAGUAUAAAUAUAUUUAGUACUAGUGUUUGAGUUUGAGGAAUUGCGAUAGGUAAAUUCUACAUUUUGGCAAAUACAAUGAAUAAUAUAAAUACUUCACCUUUUCAGGCUGACGAGAUGACACGGUCGGUUUGUAGACUACUCAACAUGGGAGUACAAGAUGAACUACAAGAACAGUUGGAGGUGUUCUUGCUGCAACUAUGUAAUCACAAACGGAUUUUUUUAACCUAAACUAUGGAACUUUAACCUCAAUGGCUGGAGCUAUAACAACUUAUAUGGUGAUCCUGCUACAAUUUAUGACCUUGCCCUAGAUCUGAGUGAGCAAUGGUGAUCAGUCCGGACACAAACCGCACUUCAGAAGUAGAACAUCAGUAUUCCCUCUUAAGGGUAAUAUACUAUAGUCCAAAAUCUGCUUCAGAUUAAAAGUAAUAAUUUGCUUGUAAGAAUGGGAUGAAAUAUAUUAUUUAUAAAUAUCGAAACUAUUAUUUAGGUGUUUUUUGCAUUAUUAAUUUUAACAAUAGCCAAUAUUUUGCGUUAUCUUACUUUGAAACAUCAAUCUGAAAAGAUUUUAUUCAAGAUUAUAUGAAAGUUUUAUAAAAAACUAAUAAAAUUCAUUAAAUUUGUGAUGAAUUUUGCCAGUCAAAUAUCUGUAUCAUUAACAUUAACUACUUGAACCAAGUGUAACGAUUUAGUUGAGUAGGGGUUGUUGUAUAGUACUAUCCUUUACAUACCGGAUAGAAUAGUCGAAUGGGGUAAACCCGAGGUACAUAUUUUCAGCUCAGACCGCGAGAGAGAGAGAGAGAGAGAGAGAGAGAGAGAG
Molecule: long non-coding RNA, 3060 nt
Filed under: Homalodisca vitripennis (glassy-winged sharpshooter)
Lineage: Eukaryota; Metazoa; Arthropoda; Insecta; Hemiptera; Cicadellidae
Description: uncharacterized LOC124368485
Source: RNAcentral